This is a long non-coding RNA of Cyprinodon tularosa, 434 nucleotides long. RefSeq lists it as uncharacterized. The transcript is spliced from 3 exons. The record is from RefSeq and is a predicted model, not a curated record. NCBI's taxonomy places the organism in Eukaryota, Metazoa, Chordata, Actinopteri, Cyprinodontiformes, Cyprinodontidae.
GGUGUGGGAGACUCUUAUAGCCAGCCAGGACCUAUUGAAUCAGGUGAAGAUUCUUGUGAUGAGGGCCCUUCACCAUCACACAUGCAGCAUAGUGUGUCCAGGGCUGAUGUUCUUGCAGGCCAUCCACAGGGGGAUAGUGGUGUGGGAGCCUCUUAUAGCCGGCCCGGACCUAUUGGUAUGUCUUAACAAUUCAUUUAAGUUAGUGACUUAUGUGACACUAAAAGGUCCUGAUUCCCAUACAUUUGUCACUUACAGAUAUUUCACAGUCAAGAGCAACAGGACCCACUCAACCCCAGUUAAAGCUGUAUCCAAAAACCAUGCAAGGGGAGAAGAGGAGGUCGUUCAAUCCAUCCUGGUACAACAGGUUUUCAUGGCUUGAGUACUCAAUAAUGAAAGACUCAACGUACUGCUAUGCAUGCAGGCAGUUCUCUUUG